This 77-nucleotide transfer RNA is filed under the name Pseudomonadota bacterium. Its description in RNAcentral is "tRNA-Ile". It matches the Rfam family "tRNA". Rfam says of the family: Transfer RNA (tRNA) molecules are approximately 80 nucleotides in length. Their secondary structure includes four short double-helical elements and three loops (D, anti-codon, and T loops). RNAcentral also lists the same sequence under 1 other name. Lineage: Bacteria; Pseudomonadati; Pseudomonadota. The record is from RNAcentral.
GGGUCUGUAGCUCAGUUGGUUAGAGUGCGCGCCUGAUAAGUGCGAGGUCGGAGGUUCAAGUCCUCCCAGACCCACCA